GACGUAGGGCGCGAGCGUUGUCCGGAUUUAUUGGGCGUAAAGAGCUCGUAGGCGGCUCGUUGCGUCGGCUGUGAAAACCCGCAGCUCAACUGUGGGCUUGCAGCCGAUACGGGCGGGCUGGAGUUCGGUAGGGGAGACUGGAAUUCCUGGUGUAGCGGUGAAAUGCGCAGAUAUCAGGAGGAACACCGGUGGCGAAGGCGGGUCUCUGGGCCGACACUGACGCUGAGGCGCGAAAGCCAGGGGAGCGAACGGG
Molecule: ribosomal RNA, 253 nt
Filed under: uncultured bacterium
Lineage: Bacteria
Description: partial 16S ribosomal RNA
Rfam family: Bacterial small subunit ribosomal RNA
Source: RNAcentral